RNAcentral lists this ribosomal RNA (253 nucleotides) under uncultured bacterium. RNAcentral's name for it is "partial 16S ribosomal RNA". It matches the Rfam family "Bacterial small subunit ribosomal RNA", at positions 524 to 776 of the family's 1533-position model. The record is from RNAcentral.
UACGUAGGUGGCAAGCGUUGUCCGGAUUUACUGGGCGUAAAGGGCGUGCAGGCGGUUUGUUAAGUCUAGGGUGAAAGCUCCCGGCUCAACUGGGAGAGGUCCUUGGAUACUGGCGAACUUGAGGGAUGCAGAGGAAAGUGGAAUUCCCGGUGUAGUGGUGAUAUGCGUAGAUAUCGGGAGGAACACCAGUGGCGAAGGCGGCUUUCUGGGCAUUUCCUGACGCUGAGGCGCGAAAGCUAGGGGAGCGAACAGG